GGAGAGAUGGCUGAGUGGUCGAAAGCACUUCGUUGGAAGCGAAGCAUAUGGCAACGUAUCGAGGGUUCGAAUCCCUCUCUCUCCGCCA
RNAcentral lists this transfer RNA (88 nucleotides) under Burkholderiales bacterium. Its description in RNAcentral is "tRNA-Ser". It matches the Rfam family "tRNA". From Rfam's summary of the family: Transfer RNA (tRNA) molecules are approximately 80 nucleotides in length. The record is from RNAcentral. Lineage: Bacteria; Pseudomonadati; Pseudomonadota; Betaproteobacteria; Burkholderiales.